AUUGAACGCUGGCGGAAUGCUUUACACAUGCAAGUCGAGCGGCAGCACGGGGGCAACCCUGGUGACGAGCGGCGAACGGGUGAGUAAUACAUCGGAACAUGCCCAGUCGUGGGGGAUAACACUUCGAAAGAAGUGCUAAUACCGCAUACGUCCUGAGGGGGAAAGCGGGGGAUCGCAAGACCUCGCGCGAUUGGAGUGGCCGAUGUCAGAUUAGCUAGUUGGUGGGGUAAAGGCCUACCAAGGCAACGAUCUGUAGCUGGUCUGAGAGGAUGAUCAGCCACACUGGGACUGAGACACGGCCCAGACUCCUACGGGAGGCAGCAGUGGGGAAUUUUGGACAAUGGGGGCAACCCUGAUCCAGCCAUUCCGCGUGAGUGAAGAAGGCCUUCGGGUUGUAAAGCUCUUUCGGCAGGAACGAAACGGUGAGCUCUAACAUAGCUUGCUAAUGACGGUACUUGAAGAAGAAGCACCGGCUAACUACGUG
This 484-nucleotide ribosomal RNA is filed under the name uncultured bacterium. RNAcentral's name for it is "partial 16S ribosomal RNA". It matches the Rfam family "Bacterial small subunit ribosomal RNA", at positions 30 to 507 of the family's 1533-position model. The record is from RNAcentral.